RNAcentral lists this ribosomal RNA (411 nucleotides) under Triticum aestivum (bread wheat). RNAcentral describes it as "partial small subunit ribosomal RNA". The record is from RNAcentral. Lineage: Eukaryota; Viridiplantae; Streptophyta; Magnoliopsida; Poales; Poaceae.
AUGACGCUUCUCUUGCUGCACGCCUUGCUGCUUGCAAGCGCGGCUGUGGCAGCAGCAGCAUCUGAGAUCGGCGACACCGCAGGCGGCAACGCCACCACGGCUCAAGGCCUGUGCAACGGCGCCGGAUGCCAGCCGCCGCCGCAGCCGCUGCCAAUCUACGGCGGCCCUCCGCCGUCGCAGCCGUCGAGGACACCGCCCUCCCCGGGCAUGCAGGCGCCGUGCCCGCCGGUGACACCCGUUUGCUGCGGCGGCCAAAACACGCCUCAGCAGCCGUACUACCAAGCGCCUCCGAUCGGCUACCUUCCCUACUACAACGAGUCUGCUUCUUCCGUGCUCGUGCCACCGACUCCCGUCGCCGCCGUUGCGUAUUACGUGAUCGUACCAUGUCUCUUGCUUUGGGUUAUGGUGUAA